Molecule: ribosomal RNA, 492 nt
Filed under: uncultured bacterium
Lineage: Bacteria
Description: partial 16S ribosomal RNA
Rfam family: Bacterial small subunit ribosomal RNA
Source: RNAcentral
AGUGAACGCUGGCGGUAGGCCUAACACAUGCAAGUCGAACGGCAGCACAGUAAGAGCUUGCUCUUACGGGUGGCGAGUGGCGGACGGGUGAGGAAUACAUCGGAAUCUACUUUUUCGUGGGGGAUAACGUAGGGAAACUUACGCUAAUACCUCAUACGACCUACGGGUGAAAGCAGGGGAUCUUCGGACCUUGCGCGAUUGAAUGAGCCGAUGUCGGAUUAGCUAGUUGGCGGGGUAAAGGCCCACCAAGGCGACGAUCCGUAGCUGGUCUGAGAGGAUGAUCAGCCACACUGGAACUGAGACACGGUCCAGACUCCUACGGGAGGCAGCAGUGGGGAAUAUUGGACAAUGGGCGCAAGCCUGAUCCGGCCAUACCGCGUGGGUGAAGGAGGCCUUCGGGUUGUAAAGCCCUUUUGUUGGGAAAGAAAAGCAGCAGGUUAAUACCCCGCUGUUCUGACGGUACCCAAAGAAUAAGCACCGGCUAACUUCGUG